This is an RNA transcript of Cryptomeria japonica (Japanese cedar), 1041 nucleotides long. RefSeq lists it as uncharacterized. The record is from RefSeq and is a predicted model, not a curated record. Lineage: Eukaryota; Viridiplantae; Streptophyta; Pinopsida; Cupressales; Cupressaceae. The transcript has 2 exons.
GUUGUUAACUUGGUUUUUGGUUUCUGAUUUCAAUUUGUUAAAAUAGAUCAGAUUACUUUUGGUCAUGAACAAUUUAUUUUGAAGUUUAGGAAACUGGUGACGUCAGCCUGCCCUGCAAAAAUUACUUGCAGCGAUACCCAAGGGUUUGGGAGUGUGAGUCAAGCUGCCACAACUAACGACUUCCUGGGCUGCGAGUAUCACCAUAAUUAAGUACGGCCAUGGUUUGUAGUCGUCUGAUGUGUACUACUUUUCUGCUCCUGCUCACCACUGUGGUGAAUCAGCAGCAGGAAGAUCCCUGUGCAAGUAGCGACGGGAAUGGCAGAUGUGGUCUCAAUGCAAUUUGUAUGGUUGGGGAGAAUUCCAAGGCAGUUUGUAGUUGCCCUCCCGGAUUCGAUUCCAAUCCGAAUUCAGUGGGAUGCUAUCGAAAUGAGUCCACGCGGCUGGGGUGCGAUGGAAGCAAAGCAGAAAUGCAGGAUAUUGGCCACGUAGAUUGGAUGUACAACGAUUAUGAGCACUUAACGAUGGUGGAUAAAAGUUCAUGCAAGCAGGCCUGCCUCGACGAUUGCGAGUGCACAGUAGCUAUUUCGCUAAUCUCCCCGACACCACUCACUGUUGGAAGAAGGCAAUGCCUUUGAGAUAUGGCGGUGCAUCGAGUACCAGAACAGCUUUUGUCAAAGUUUCCAACAGAAAUGAAAUACGUGUGGUCAGAUAUGGCGGUGCAUCUUUAAUAUCUUACUCUUUUUGGACUCCAUAUGAUUCUAUAAAGAGAGAUUCAUAUUGUCAAAUAGGAGGAAGAUGGAAUGUUCUUGGAUGUCAUGAAAGAAGUGUGACGCUCUGCAUAAGGAUCAAAGCUUGAGAAAGGCCUACACUGCUUUAAGUGGUAGUAAGUUCUAAAAAUGUAAAAGACUACUAAAUUCACUUCCACCCAAACGAAGUGCAGAUAUACUUUGAUUAUAUAUCUUAAGGGCAGGGAAAAAUUGUAUGAAAUGUAAAUUAUUUUCUUUUUGGUAAUAUUUAAUAAUAUAUAUCAAAAUUAAAUAA